Molecule: transfer RNA, 92 nt
Organism: Sphaerulina musiva SO2202
Lineage: Eukaryota; Fungi; Ascomycota; Dothideomycetes; Mycosphaerellales; Mycosphaerellaceae
Rfam family: tRNA
About the family: Transfer RNA (tRNA) molecules are approximately 80 nucleotides in length. Their secondary structure includes four short double-helical elements and three loops (D, anti-codon, and T loops).
Source: Rfam
GGCCGUUUGGCUCAAUGGUAGAGCGUCCGCCUCCUACUCAACACAGUCAGUACCGAAGCGGAAGGUUGUGGGUUCGAGUCCCAUGAUGGUCG